UGGACUCGCAGCCAGCCCCGAGCGAAAUCACACUGUCACAGUCACAUAGAUAUUACACAGCAUAUAGACAGAGGUAGCAUCAACGCCAAUAUGUCCACCGAUUCCGACAUCGACUUUAUAACUGGACUGUUGUAAAUGUACCGCGGACACAAAUGCCUCUGGAAGGUGAAGGCCAAGGGGUAUUUCGACAAAGUACGACGGAAUGCGGCAUUGGACGAGUUAGUGGCCUACUGCAGGCCCUUUGUAUCACAGUGGAUAAAGAAUGGGUUAAAAAAAAAUCAGAACCUGCGCACGGUGUUCCUGAAAGAACACAAAAAAAUUGAGCAGUCAAAAAGGUCGGGAGCAGGCUCGGACCAAAUCUACAAAACCUCGCUGUGGUUUGUCCUGGACCACGAGGCAACCCGGACAGGUUUCACCUCCCUCCCCCGGACUGCCACACCAGAGGCUGAAGACAGUGAGCCAUCUCUGUCAGCAUCUUUUGACCGUUCGGGCUAGUGGCCACGGGGAGGCUUUCUUCCUAUGACCAUAGAUCCAACCCCCUGUACUUCCGAACCAUGGAACCUGUGACACGCACGCUGUGCAUCUCUAUGACAACAGUGACGUCUGAGGAGAAGGGGGAAGUGGAAGGUGAUGGCCAGAAGCAAGGACCCGGUGUGCGGCAGCGAGGACGGCGCGGACUGGUGCAGCAUCAAGGGAGAGAAGUACUGUAUAGCUGCAGCAUUGGUGCAUUGGAUAUAAGAUGAUUUGUUAAAAAAAACGUCUAAUAUGACUUUUGGGUAUGCAGUUGACUGACCUGGAUUAAUCAAUUUGAAGAGAAUAGAGAUUUAUCUAUUAACAUAAUUAGUAAAUUUACUAAGGAACUGGUUUGAAGUAAUUUAAAACCCACAGAAACCGUUGCAGUUUGACAGAAGGUUUUAUUCACAAAAGGCAGUAUUUACUAAAUGUCAUUUUGAAACGCUAAAUAGAACCUGCCAUUGGCCCUCAUUCCGAGUUGUUCGUUCGUUGACGAUUUUCGCUAUGCUGCAAUUUGUUGCAAAAUGCGCAUGCGCAAGGCACGUAGGGCGCAUGCGCUUAGUUAUUUAACUAAAAACUUAGUAGAUUUGCUGUGGAUCCUGCGGCGCUUUCCAGUCGCUCUGCUGAUCGGUGAAUGAUUGACAGGAAAGGGGUGUUUCUGGGUGGUAACUGAGCGUUUUCCUGGAGUGUGCUAAAAAACGCAGGUGUGUCAGGGGAAAACGCGGGAGUGUCUGGAGAAAUGGGGGAAUGGUUGGCCGAAACGCAGGGCGUGUUUGUGACGUCAAACCAGGAACUAAAUGGACUGAGCUGAUCGCAAUCUGUGAGUAGGUCUGGAGCUACUCAGAAACUGCAAAGAAUUAUUUAUUAGCAGUUCUGCUAAUCUUUCGUUUGCAAUUCUGCUAAGCUAAGAUACACUCCCAGAGGGCAGCGGCCUAGCGUGUGCAAUGCUGCUAAAAGCAGCUAGCGAGCGAACAACUCGGAAUGAGGGCCAUUGAUCCCUGCCAGUUUCUAAAGCUGCUGCUGUUUCUCCUGCUGGGAUCCACCAUAAAGCUGUGUUUUUUUUUGUACACGAAAUGCCUACUUUGGAUUGAAGAGGAGUUAUCCUUAAGGAUUGAAUGAUUAAUAAAUGGGUUUACAUGUGGUGCCGAUUUCUGUUUUUGCUGGU
Molecule: long non-coding RNA, 1678 nt
Organism: Pseudophryne corroboree (corroboree frog)
Lineage: Eukaryota; Metazoa; Chordata; Amphibia; Anura; Myobatrachidae
Exons: 4
Source: RefSeq, a predicted model, not a curated record